AAGACUAUGCCUUCAGGGAUUAUUUCUAGAGUUCAUUUCUCUGACCUUGUAGAGUCCCAGAAACCAUGAAGAAAAGCCCAGAGUUCCCUCUUGAGGGUGAAGGCAGCUUUACUACAACUGCCUUUUGCCAUUGAUGACUGUUUCUUUCCACUCCCCUUUUUUUGGAGGGUGAUGUGGGGCGGGGGGAAUGCAGUCUGACAGCU
Molecule: small nucleolar RNA, 203 nt
Filed under: Sciurus vulgaris (Eurasian red squirrel)
Lineage: Eukaryota; Metazoa; Chordata; Mammalia; Rodentia; Sciuridae
Description: Small nucleolar RNA U3 (ENSSVLG00005008808.1)
Rfam family: Small nucleolar RNA U3
About the family: Small nucleolar RNAs (snoRNAs) are involved in the processing and modification of rRNA in the nucleolus. There are two main classes of snoRNAs: the box C/D class, and the box H/ACA class.
Source: Rfam by way of RNAcentral